GACGAACGCUGGCGGCGUGCCUAACACAUGCAAGUCGAACGAACAGAUGAGGAGUUUGCUCCUCUGACGUUUGCGGCGGACGGGGGAGUAACACGUGGAUAACCUACCUAUAUGACUGGGAUAAUCUCGUGAAACCGGAGCUAAUACCGGAUAAUCUAUUGAACCGCAGUGUUCAAUAGUGAAAGACGGUUUUUCUGUCAGUUAUAGAUGCAUCCCCGCCGGAUUAGCUAGUUGGUAGGGUAACGGCUUAGCAAGGCGAGCAGGCGUAGACGCCGGGAGAGAGUGAUCGGCCACAUGGGAAGUGAGACGGGGCCAAGACUCCUGCGGGAGGCAGCAGUAGGGAAUCUUCCGCAAUGGAGGAGAGCCUGACGGAGCAACGCGGAGUGAGUGGUGAAGAUCUUCGGAUCGUAAAGCUCUGUUAUUGGGAGGAAACAAAUGUGUAAGUAACGAGGCACGUAUUGACGGUACCGGAUCAGAAAGCCACGGCUAACUACGUG
Molecule: ribosomal RNA, 497 nt
Filed under: uncultured bacterium
Lineage: Bacteria
Description: partial 16S ribosomal RNA
Rfam family: Bacterial small subunit ribosomal RNA
Source: RNAcentral